UAGAUAUUAAGAUUGACUGCUGGGUCCCAGCCCCUUUGAGCUGCGUUCUACAGGGAGGCUAAGCUAGUGGGGGCAAAGUUUCAGUGCAUUCCGUUGAUGUAGACGGCGUGAAAACGGAAACAACAAGUAUGCCGGCUCACUGUGCUGCAUACAAUUACACACUGCGUCGUACGAUUGAGACAAGGAAACUUGAAAUGACUUUUCAUAGUUUUCCCAGAGACUAUGGGUUGAGGAGGAAUUGGAAGUUUGUCGGCUUAGACCUGGUGUCAUUCCAUCAGUGUUAAAUUUCCCGGCUCAUCUUGGAAGAGUACGUGCCAGAAAGACCACGACCAAGCAGCCUUGAGAUCUUAGGCAGCGUCUCCCUGAGGUUCCUCUCUGUCUCCCCACACAUCCACCAACCACUGGAACACAUCUCCAAAGUUCUGCCGGGCCAGCUCAGCUUCCCCUCAGAAGUGCCGCCACCUGCCAGAUGAAGGAGCCUUUUGAGAGGCAGCUGGCAUCGUGAUUGGACUGUACUUUGGUCUGUUCCAAUCCAGCUUCAGCUCCAGAGACGGCAGGCGGGACGAGUCAACAGAGGCCCCACAGAGGGGGGAGGCCGCCACCCACCUCUCCGCCCUGACUCCACCUAGACUCCACCUCAGCUCCACCCAUGUGGUCACUUGGGGAACUACGAUGCCAAAGGGAUGACGAAAUUAUUUUUUUUUAUCUGAUCUGUAGCUCAGUGAGUUAAGGGUUUGCCUGUGGAGUUGCUGGUUCAAGACCAGACUCUUCUUAAAUUUUUAUCAAAAUCCUGACAAAAACAAACAAAGAAAAAGGCCAGUGGUGGGUCUUGAACCUGCAACCUUCCAGUUAGUAGUCUCUCUUCUUAUCCCCUGAGCUACUCACUCAGAUACCAAAUCUUCCCUUUUUUGUGCAUUGAUCAUCUAUUUUUUGUCGUUUUCGGGGGGUUUUUAACUCGGAUCUUGACUCGACCGUUUUUCUCAGGAGGUUGGACUUCAGCCUUUGUGCUGGAGGGUUGAACCCUCAGUUCCAAGACUUUCCAAAGCCUCCACACCUCCCGAGUCCUCAGGACCUGAGCUUUCACACAGUCUGAGGGCUGAAAUUUUCUAAGUCCCACAGUAGAUCUCUGUUAGAUUUAACUUUCAGACAGUCCAAGGACUGAUAUCUUCUAAGUUCCUGAGUAGUUCUCUGUUAGUUUGAACCUUUCGACAGUUUGAGGAGUGAAAUCUUAAAAGUUCCUGAGUAGUUCUCUGUUAGUUUGAGCUUUUAGACAGUUCAAGGACUGAAGUUUUAAAAGUUUCUCAAUACUUCUCUGUUAGUUUGAACUUUCUGGUUAACAGGAGCCUUAAAACUUGUGACCAUGAGUCUUGAUUUCACAUUUAGACCAUCCAUCUGAGUUCUUCUCAGACCUUCACCUGUGGGUUUUUUAGAAAUCCUGAACAAACUUUGAUUCUCUUCACUGAACAGUAAAGUUUGUGGAGAUCAGAAGGUAACAUUAGUUUGAUCAAUGCCUUCAACUACUAGUAGACUUUAUCUGGAAAGCAGUUUUCUGAAAUGAGUUCUUACUAAAUCUGUCCACAAUCAAACCAAGAACAUAGAAAGAGGAAAUGUUUGAAGAAACAACUUGAUGUUUUCAUUUCAGACUAGAAAACGCUUGAAGACCUUCAUCUGUUUUUGCUCUUUUUGAUCGUUUUAUUGUCUCUUCUGUUUAAUUUGAUCUUCUAAAGUCUAACUGGUGUCUUUUCAAAUGUUUUGUCUUUAGUUUGAUUCUUUUUAAAUGUUUAGUUUUGCUCUUUUCUCACCUUUUAUUUUUUUCUAAUGUCUGAUUUGAUUUCGAAAUGUUUUGUCUUUUUAAUGUUUAAUUGUUUUUUCAAAUGUUUUAUCGGCUUGUUUGAAAAAUUUCCUUUUUUCCCCAAUAUUUAAUUUUUUGAUUAAAUCUUUAAGGUUUUUCUUUUUAAAUGUUUUACCACCUUUUAAUGUUUAAUUUUCUUUUUAAGUGCUUCAUUGUAUUUUCUGUUUAAUU
Amphiprion ocellaris (clown anemonefish) is the source of this 2023-nucleotide long non-coding RNA. The record is from Ensembl. Lineage: Eukaryota; Metazoa; Chordata; Actinopteri; Pomacentridae.